This 472-nucleotide ribosomal RNA is filed under the name uncultured bacterium. Its description in RNAcentral is "bacterial SSU rRNA". The stretch from base 100 to 472 matches the Rfam family "Bacterial small subunit ribosomal RNA", at positions 1 to 352 of the family's 1533-position model. The record is from RNAcentral.
UGAAUCCGGUAAUCAAUGGCCAUACUCAGUGUUUACAUUGAACACACGACGAGAAGGUGGAUCCGGAGUCCGGGACAUGAGAUGUAUCCUGGAAAAAGACGCCCAGAGAAUCCGAACACGUGUCAAGACCAGCGCUGGGGGCGUGCCUAAUACAUGCAAGUCGAGCGCAGGAAACUGACGGAACUCUUCGGAGGGAAGGCAGCGGAAUGAGCGGCGGACGGGUGAGUAACACGUAAGGAACCUGCCUCAAGGAUUGGGAUAACUCCGAGAAAUCGGAGCUAAUACCGGAUAGUUCAACGGACCGCAUGGUCCGCUGAUGAAAGGCGCUUCGGCGUCACCUUGAGAUGGCCUUGCGGUGCAUUAGCUAGUUGGUGGGGUAAUGGCUCACCAAGGCGACGAUGCAUAGCCGACCUGAGAGGGUGAUCGGCCACACUGGGACUGAGACACGGCCCAGACUCCUACGGGAGGCAGC